This 495-nucleotide ribosomal RNA is filed under the name uncultured bacterium. RNAcentral's name for it is "partial 16S ribosomal RNA". It matches the Rfam family "Bacterial small subunit ribosomal RNA", at positions 28 to 507 of the family's 1533-position model. The record is from RNAcentral.
GACGAACGCUGGCGGCGUGCCUAAUACAUGCAAGUCGAACGCUGAAGGAGGAGCUUGCUUCUCUGGAUGAGUUGCGAACGGGUGGGUAACGCGUAGGUAACCUGCCUGGUAGCGGGGGAUAACUAUUGGAAACGAUAGCUAAUACCGCAUAAUAUUGACUAUUGCAUGAUAGUCAGUUGAAAGGUGCAACUGCACCACUACCAGAUGGACCUGCGUUGUAUUAGCUAGUUGGUGGGGUAACGGCUCACCAAGGCGACGAUACAUAGCCGACCUGAGAGGGGGAUCGGCCACACUGGGACUGAGACACGGCCCAGACUCCUACGGGAGGCAGCAGUAGGGAAUCUUCGGCAAUGGACGGAAGUCUGACCGAGCAACGCCGCGUGAGUGAAGAAGGUUUUCGGAUCGUAAAGCUCUGUUGUAAGAGAAGAACGAGUGUGAGAGUGGAAAGCUCACACUGUGACGGUAUCUUACCAGAAAGAGACGGCUAACUACGUG